AAUCAAGCGCGAGAAGGGCGUUUGGUGGAUGCCUUGGCAGUAAGAGGCGAUGAAGGACGUGAUACUCUGCGAUAAGUCCUGGGGAGCUGAGAAUAAGCUUUGAUCCAGGAAUUUCCGAAUGGGGAAACCCACCUGACAGUUCGUUAUAAUUACUUCGGUAGUUUAUAACGUUCUGAAACAGGUACUUAUUACCUGAAUACAUAGGGUUUUAAGAGCGAACCCGGGGAACUGAAACAUCUAAGUACCCGGAGGAAAGGAAAUCAACAGAUACUCCGCUAGUAGUGGCGAGCGAACGCGGACCAGCCGAAUCUUGAAAGUGACCAGAAUGAUCUGGAAAGAUCAGCCAUAGUGGGUGACAGCCCCGUAUGGGAAGCUCGAUAGGACGCAUUAAGUAGGGCGGGACACGUGAAAUCCUGUCUGAAGAUCGGGGGACCACCCUCGAAGGCUAAGUACUCCUUACUGACCGAUAGCGAACCAGUACCGUG
RNAcentral lists this ribosomal RNA (485 nucleotides) under Thiotrichales bacterium. Its description in RNAcentral is "partial 23S ribosomal RNA". It matches the Rfam family "Bacterial large subunit ribosomal RNA", at positions 1 to 505 of the family's 2925-position model. Lineage: Bacteria; Pseudomonadati; Pseudomonadota; Gammaproteobacteria; Thiotrichales. The record is from RNAcentral.